Molecule: small nuclear RNA, 24 nt
Filed under: Arabidopsis thaliana (thale cress)
Lineage: Eukaryota; Viridiplantae; Streptophyta; Magnoliopsida; Brassicales; Brassicaceae
Description: snRNA_04360
Source: RNAcentral
CAAGCCCACGUUACUGAGCUCGAC